This 588-nucleotide long non-coding RNA is filed under the name Equus caballus (horse). RNAcentral's name for it is "lncRNA (ENSECAG00000050682.1)". Lineage: Eukaryota; Metazoa; Chordata; Mammalia; Perissodactyla; Equidae. The record is from RNAcentral.
CAAAGCUCGUGCUAAGGGCUUUUCCCCUGACCACCCCCCUUCUUACAUCUCACAUUCUGGCACUGCAGCAAAGGCAGCCAUAAGCCCCCUUUAAGGGGCACAGUUGGAGGAAAGUGUGUGUUCGUUGCUGGGAGAUAGACAAGGAAGACGUGAUAGGUGCUCACUAGGCAUACCCGCCUAGCAGGUAGAAACGAGCAGCUGGAUGAACACCCAGAGUAGUUAAGUCCUAUAAACCCAGCAGGGUGGGCAAAUUCUGGAUGAGACCCAAGUGGAGGCUGUGAUGUUACACCACGCCCAUUAUCUACAACACAAGUCACCACUGCGCGUCCUUGCAAGGAUCCGAUUCAAAGAAUGUCAAUAUUAUAGAAGGCUUAGCUAUGGAGGACAGGAAACGCUGAGACCCUUUCUGAGUUUGCCUGAAAUCUAGAACACCUCAAGAGAUAGAAAGUCUAACCCAGUGCCCCCCAUCCCCCCAAAAAACCCAUAAGGAAUCCUUAGUUCAGAACAAACAAAGGCGGCAUCUUCCAGACCCCCCCCCCCCCCGCGAAGGACGGCAAGGCAGAAGCUCAGGAGAAAAGGCUGGAGUGG